AGUGGCGGACGGGGGAGUAACGCGUGGGUAACCUGCCUCAUACAGGGGGAUAACAGUUAGAAAUGACUGCUAAUACCGCAUAAGACCACAGCACCGCAUGGUGCAGGGGUAAAAACUCCGGUGGUAUGAGAUGGACCCGCGUCUGAUUAGGUAGUUGGUGGGGUAACGGCCUACCAAGCCGACGAUCAGUAGCCGACCUGAGAGGGUGACCGGCCACAUUGGGACUGAGACACGGCCCAA
This 240-nucleotide ribosomal RNA is filed under the name uncultured bacterium. RNAcentral describes it as "partial 16S ribosomal RNA". It matches the Rfam family "Bacterial small subunit ribosomal RNA", at positions 94 to 334 of the family's 1533-position model. The record is from RNAcentral.